This 1400-nucleotide long non-coding RNA is filed under the name Homo sapiens (human). RNAcentral describes it as "non-protein coding lnc-BOD1-1:24". The record is from RNAcentral. Lineage: Eukaryota; Metazoa; Chordata; Mammalia; Primates; Hominidae.
GGAGAUCAAAGACCUUUCCAGAGAUUCAGGCAGGGGCCCAAACCAAGGGCAUUUCCAGGCGGGCACUGGGACCAGCCCCAGGGACACGCCAACGCACUGCUGGGGCCAAGGGGAAAGGUUGGUUUCAAAACCACAUGUGCGGCAGCCUCACCACUGAGUCAUGCUUGUGAGGCCUGCUGGAGACCAAAGACAGGGGCUACAAGCUCAAAACCGCCUGGUUAGUGCUGACUCUAUUGAUUUCCUGGCCUUCCACUUCCAAACCUUCCUUGGAUGGCUAAACUCCUUCUGGAAGACACACCUGUUUUUUAUAUUUGCCUGGUAUACCUCACUUCUUUGAGUGACAGCACCCCAGAGAUCCCCUUCUCCACUCUCACUCUUUGUAGUUAAGGUGAGGUUGGAUUCUCUCCUCUCUGCACCCCUCAACCCCCCUACCCCCAGCACUAAGGACCCAGGCUCAGCCAAUCAGAAUAUCUCUCAUGCCCAUCAUGGGCUCUAGGAUGGGAGCAUGAUGGAAGAGUGGCCAUUGAGGAUCAGUUCCAAGACUUUUGUGAGAAAUGCGGGGGAAGAGACCCUCUCUUUUCCUAUAGGGAUUGCUCACUGUGCAAAUAUGCCAGCCUGGAACAGCUGGGGCCUCCAUGUGCACAGUGGAGAAUCAGAGAAUCAGGUCACCCCACAGGAAAGCAGGACCAUAAUGGGGUACUAGGCAGAGACCUAGCCUCCUGGCCAUGCACCUCUGAGCUGUGUGGACUGAUUCUUUUUUGCUUAAGCAUGCUUUUGUUUUCAUUUCAUUUAUUUAUUUAUUUUCAGACACAGUCUUGCUCUGUUGUCCAGGCUGGACUGCAGUGGUGUGAUUUCAAUCUCAGCUCACUGCAACCUCUGCCUCCCCGGUUCAAGUACUGCCAACAAGAAGGCCCAAUCAAGAUCCUCCCACAACAAGAGCAGAUUGUGAGCGUGGCAAGCUCUAUGCUGAGCACUGGAAGGACAAAGAGAGAUUGGGCACAGACUUCUCACUGAUCCAGGUGAUGAAGAGCUCACAUCUGAGAGGAUGUGACCAUGGAUGACCCACCAGAAUGUCAUGGGAUCCAGCUACAGCCAAGGAAGCACAGAGCACCGUGGGAGCGAUUUAUUGUGCUUGGGGAUGGGGAAGGGGACAUGGGAGGAGCCAUAUUGAGAAAGUAGCAUGGGUACUUGGCUUCACAGAGUGUGGCAGCUUUCAUCAGGAAGUGAUGGUGGGGGAACAGCGUCUCUGGCGGAGGGAAGCAGCAGGUGCAGAGGUGCAGAGGUGUGAGGAGUCUGUCACAUUCUGGGAAGGGAGUAUGGUUGGGUGACAAUGCAAGACAGAGAAAGCAAGGAGGGAAGGAGGGGCCUAGCCUGAGGAAUAAAGAAUAAUAAAAGCAGGA